GCCCGAUUAGCUUGUUGGCGAGGUAACGGCUCACCAAGGCUUUGAUCGGUAGCCGGUCUGAGAGGAUGGCCGGCCACACUGGAACUGAGACACGGUCCAGACUCCUACGGGAGGCAGCAGUGGGGAAUCUUGCGCAAUGGGCGAAAGCCUGACGCAGCGACGCCGCGUGGGGGAUGAAGCUUUUCGGAGUGUAAACCCCUUUCGACCGGGACGAAUGCCUCGCAAGAGGAGUGACGGUACCGGUAUAAGAAGCCCCGGCUAACUACGUGCCAGCAGCCGCGGUAAGACGUAGGGGGCCAGCGUUGCUCGGAAUAACUGGGCGUAAAGGGUCUGUAGGCGGUGCGGCAAGUCGGGAGUGAAAUUUCUGGGCUUAACCCAGGGACUGCUUCCGAAACUGCCGUGCUCGAGUGCGAGAGAGGUGAGUGGAAUUGCAGGUGUAGCGGUGAAAUGCGUAGAUAUCUGCAGGAACACCCGUGGCGAAAGCGGCUCACUGGAUCGCAACUGACGCUGAGAGACGAAAGCUAGGGGAGCA
RNAcentral lists this ribosomal RNA (532 nucleotides) under uncultured bacterium. RNAcentral's name for it is "bacterial SSU rRNA". It matches the Rfam family "Bacterial small subunit ribosomal RNA", at positions 235 to 770 of the family's 1533-position model. The record is from RNAcentral.